This is a long non-coding RNA of Drosophila sulfurigaster albostrigata, 2441 nucleotides long. RefSeq lists it as uncharacterized. The record is from RefSeq and is a predicted model, not a curated record. Lineage: Eukaryota; Metazoa; Arthropoda; Insecta; Diptera; Drosophilidae. The transcript has 5 exons.
AUUUUUGCCAUACUGCGGUCACACAGUACCAAAAAAAACUCGUUGCACACAACAGCAAAACACGCAACAAAAAAAUUAAAAUAUUAAUUCGAUUUAAAACAAAACGCAUUACAAUUAAAAGCAAACAAUGAGUGCCAGCCAAGUGCCUCAAUUGGCCGGAUAUGUGUAAAUCAAGUGCAGUGCAAUUAGCAAUACAAAAAUUUGUUUAAUAUAGCCUACAUACAAAUACAAAUACAAAAAAAAGAAAUAUUUUUUCCCCAGAAAAACACAAAACAAAACGAAAACUUAAUAAUAAAUCAUAAUUAAAAGCGCCUCAACAAAACAAGCAAUAAAUAAUACAACAAGAAAGCCGAGCAAAACACAAAACAAAAAAAAUGUAUAAAUAAAAUAAUAGAAUAAUAUACAUAUAUAUAUAAUUAUUGAAAACAUCGUAGCCAUUAGCUUUAACAAAAACAAAAACAACCUAACAAAACGCAUAACAUUUUAUGAGCAGCAAACUUAUAAAGCCUAUAAAAAGUACGCCUUCCAAUAGUUAUUAUACUAUUAUAUAUAUAUAUAUACAAUAUAUCGUUAUAUAUACAUGCAUACAUCAUUACAUCAUUACUUACAUGCAAAUAUUGUAGCACUUGGACAAAAUGCAAAAAUUUCGAUAAUGCGAAAAGUGCGUUAAACGAUGCAAUCAAAUCUUUAACUAAUACAUUAAUUAAUAUUAAUUCCAAAUCGUAUAUACACCAACUAUAUAUACACGCAUAUAUUUCAUAUAACAACGAACAACAACUAAAUAAUUAUAAUUAUUAUCAGCUUGCUAACAACUAUAAAGAAAAAAACAUAAAACAAAAUUCACCGCAAUUACUUUAGCAAAUUUACUUUAAACAAAAUAAGAAUAUAUAUUAAAUUAGAUAUAAAAAAUAUUAGCAAGUGCAUAUUCUAAAAUUAAACAACAACAAUUUUUCUAUGCGCCCAAAGUGCUUAAGUAACAACGACAACAACAAGAACAACAACAAAUAUCAAUUUCCCCAUAAGAACAACAACAACAACAACAAUAAUAACAUGAAAAACACACCAACAACAAUGUAAAAUAACAACAAAAUCAACCUCAAUCAACACUGUAAAUCGAGCAAUAUUACUCAUACAAAAAUUAUUAAACUUAUAAUUGUUAAAUGUUAACUAAACCAACACAGCAACAACAACAACAACAACAUCAACACCAACGCCAGCAACCUGCCAAUAAUAAAAACAAGAGGAAAAGUAACACCAAAAACAAACAACAACAACAACAACAACAACAGCAACCACAACUCAUGCGGUGCUCAAAAGCCAUCGCCAACUUUAACCUCUUCUCAACAAGAGCAGCACAAAAUCAACAACAACUAUUUCAACAACAACAGCAACAACAACAAGUGUUUAAAGCUACAGAGAGCAACGGCGUCGCCAAUCGCCAAUCGCUCUCAAUAUCUCAGGAGUUGUUGUUGUUGCACAAUUAUUAACGUUGGAUUAACCUUCCCCCCACCACCACCACCACCACCUUUCGUCACCAGCCAACCAAGGUUCUAAUGUAGGGGAAAUACCAGCAACAACAACAACAACAACAAUCGCGUCAACAGCAGCAACAGCAAACGACAACAACCACAACGUCAGCAGCAACGGGACAUGGAUAUUCAUAUGAAAAAACUAACGAAACCACGGUGAGUCAUGAACGCAAACAAAUUAACGACUUUUGCAGAAUGUGAGUGUCACAAUUCUGAUUGCAUCUCCUUCCUUUGUUAUUGUGUCUAAUGGAAAUCACGUCUAUCGAUUGUGCCGUGGGGGGAAUUACUUUUAUUUUUGGGGUACUGCAACUUUAAGUUUAACGUAAUACUAAUACAAACACAGCACACACAUUCAUACACACACACAUGCACCUACAGCACAGCAAAUAAUCAAUGCGCAACUCUCCAGCAAACAUAUGAAAGUAAACGCAGCUCAAUUUGAUAAUUUGCAAAUAGCAAACGAAAAUCUGCAAACGAACCAAGUGCUUGUCCAACUGUUUUAGAAGACGGAACGAAAACAGCGCAGUGGCAGCGCUGCGACAGAACAACGUAAUUGUUAGCGAACAUGUAGUGGCAACCGGCAACCAAGAAGCAAAAACAAGAACAACGGCAAACGCAAUUCGGUUAGAGAUCCAAGAAAACAACAACAAAGCGACGCCGCUGCACAAUUACAACAAUUACACAAGCCUAAGCGCUUUGAGUAGCCGUCAUUGCAAAGAGAGCAAAGAGCGAGAGACUGAGAGAGCGAAGAGGAGCACAAAACAGACAAACGUUUACAAACACUUUCACAGACACACUCACAAGGUUUUGCUUUCAUUUCGGUGUCACUGUGUGUGUGUGUGUGAGUGGGAUUUUGUUUAACAUAUUUUUUGAGUUACACUUUUUUUUCAUUGUUUUUUUUAACUUUGCUCG